This 405-nucleotide unclassified non-coding RNA is filed under the name Athalia rosae (coleseed sawfly). Its description in RNAcentral is "misc RNA ENSAEAG00005012216.1". Lineage: Eukaryota; Metazoa; Arthropoda; Insecta; Hymenoptera; Athaliidae. The record is from RNAcentral.
CUUUAAUCGCUUGUACGUAUAUUACCGUAAUUAGUCGGUAUGCUAUUAUAGCGUUAUAUUCACAGUGGUCAGGUGAUCGUCGUAACAGGUGUGACGCAUUUGGGGCACGUGCGUAUUAUUUGACUCAUUAUAUCAAACACGGCGAAGUGUAUUAGUUGGUUGCCACCUGUUAUACUCGUAAUCUGAACUGCACCUGCACUUUGUUGAGAACGUCUUCGAACGUCCUUGAACCCUGUAAAACAUCCUUCAGCGUCCUUGCGCCGCCAUUGCACCUCGCCAUACGGAGUCCGAAGAUAAUUCAACGCGUUUGCUCGGAAAUAAAUAAUCUGCCAUGAUUAGAAAACAUGCUUAUUCAAUUGCUGUAUAAUGCAAAUAUAUUUAAUUUAUAGUCGUGAGUAAAUCAAG